GGUUAGUUAGCUCAGUUGGUAGAGCAACGGACUCUUAAUCCGUGGGUCCAGGGUUCGAGCCCCUGACUGACCA
This is a non-coding RNA of Fructobacillus fructosus KCTC 3544, 73 nucleotides long. The record is from Rfam. Lineage: Bacteria; Bacillati; Bacillota; Bacilli; Lactobacillales; Lactobacillaceae.